RNAcentral lists this ribosomal RNA (457 nucleotides) under uncultured bacterium. RNAcentral describes it as "bacterial SSU rRNA". It matches the Rfam family "Bacterial small subunit ribosomal RNA", at positions 330 to 802 of the family's 1533-position model. The record is from RNAcentral.
UUUAAGCUUCUACGGGAGGCUGCAGUGGGGAAUUUUCCGCAAUGGGCGAAAGCCUGACGGAGCAAUGCCGCGUGGGGGAAUAAGGCCCACGGGUCGUAAACCCCUUUUCUCAGAGAGGAAGUCAUGACAGUAUCUGGGGAAUAAGCAUCGGCUAACUCUGUGCCAGCAGCCGCGGUAAGACAGAGGAUGCAAGCGUUAUCCGGAAUGAUUGGGCGUAAAGCGUCUGUAGGUGGCUUCUUAAGUCUGCUGUCAAAUCCCAGGGCUUAACCCUGGCCAGGCGGUGGAGACUACUAAGCUGGAGUACGGUAGGGGCAGAGGGAAUUUCCGGUGGAGCGGUGAAAUGCGUAGAGAUCGGAAAGAACACCAAGGGCGAAGGCACUCUGCUGGGCCGACACUGACACUGAGAGACGAGAGCUAGGGGAGCGAAUGGGAUUAGAUACCCUUGUAGUCGAAUUCU